CCUACGGGAGGCAGCAGUGAGGAAUAUUGGUCAAUGGUCGGGAGACUGAACCAGCCAAGCCGCGUGAGGGAUGAAGGUACAGAGUAUCGUAAACCUCUUUUGUCAGGGAACAAAGGCGGGGACGCGUCCCCGGAUGAGUGUACCUGAAGAAAAAGCAUCGGCUAACUCCGUGCCAGCAGCCGCGGUAAUACGGAGGAUGCGAGCGUUAUCCGGAUUUAUUGGGUUUAAAGGGUGCGCGGGCGGUCUGUUAAGUCAGCGGUCAAAGCCCGGGGCUCAACCCCGGCCCGCCGUUGAAACUGGCAGUCGCGAGUUGGAGAGAAGUAUGCGGAAUGCGCGGUGUAGCGGUGAAAUGCAUAGAUAUCGCGCAGAACUCGGAUUGCGAAGGCAGCAUGCCGGCUCCACACUGACGCUGAGGCACGAAAGCGUGGGUAUCGAACAGGAUUAGAUACCCUUGUAGUC
Molecule: ribosomal RNA, 459 nt
Filed under: uncultured bacterium
Lineage: Bacteria
Description: partial 16S ribosomal RNA
Rfam family: Bacterial small subunit ribosomal RNA
Source: RNAcentral